AUUUGCACAUUCUCCGGGGCUGACCAGAUAGAGCCGCCGCUUCCAGCUCGCGGGGACAGCUAAACCUCCACGGGAGCAGCUUUUUGCACGCAGAAACGCUGGGAAUAUUUUGAUCCAACAAACAGAGGCGCCUGUGGUCCGUUGUGCGCUGACGUUUCUCUUCCCGUGUGAACGUAUUUCCUGUGACACUUGGCUGAAGUUUAGAAAAGUUCUUCACAAAUAAAGUUAGUAGCUACUGUGCAACUAACGCCCGUUUUCUCUGGUUCAAUUUGCCCCCACAGCACCCACUGACGCCAAAAUGUGACCACACUGGUUAAUUGCCAAUUAGUGCGUUAUUUUCAUUAUCCGUCUGUUCCAAUAAGGAGCGCAAAUAAACAAAGCUGGUGCUACGUCAUGUACGGCGGUGAGAGAGAGAGAGAAAAGGACCGGAUGAGAGAAAGAAAGAAAAAGGUGUUGACUGUAAAAGGUAAGAGGGGAAGAGAAAGAAGGCACGAAAGAUAGGGUCUUGUUUUAUUUUUUGCUCCCUCGUUGACCCCGGUUUGGCAGAGGCUGGGCAGAAAAGGCAGCACACCCCUCCCUGGCAAGCACAGGAGAGCCUCGUGCGCCUGCUGCUCCAUCCUGGAUUAAUCUCACAAUACACUGAACGGGACAGCGCAAAUAACGGCGCUGAGAGCGGGGUCCAGUCCACACACUCACCGAUCGAGCUUGAGACUGGAUGUGGCACUGGUUCCCUGCGGUAUCUGGUCACGUUCGUCCAGCGUCGGGAUGGAGAUGCAGCCGCUGCUUCUUUUGCAUUCUUGCUCGCCGAGCACCGUCUGUGCCUUUGCAGAGCAGCUGUGUGAUGCUGUCGGGACGGGGCGCACAAUCCACUCCGUCCCACGCCGGCCACGCCAGGGCACCAAGACUCUGCACUGUAAAAACCACCGAUCCAAAGCACUUUAAUGCAGCGGGGGACUUCCUGGCAGGGCUGGGAGCCUGUAUCGGAGCUGUCCAAUCAGUGUAUUUACACGGGUUGUUAGCGACAGUUAAUGAGGGUUCCUCCCCGGGCCGGUAGAGAAAGGCGCCUCAACAUUAAGAUUUACCUUGUGUCAACUCGUUACUUCUAAUGAACCUCCAUGCAAAAGGCUGCUCGUACUCAAUGGAGCCGUGCGCCCGGAUCUUGUGUGUGAGACCCUGGAAGAGUGGCGCUGCAAAACGGCCUCCCUCUCCCCCUUUUCUUCCGCUCGCUCGGGGAGAGGUGCUUUUUCUCCGCAGGUUCAGGCUCCGCGAUGCGUGCCCGCGCGUGCGUGCCCGUGCGUGCGCGCGCGCGCGCGCGCGUGUGUGUGUGUGUGUGUGACUUGUCGAUCUUGGGACUUGGUUCUAUGGUUGAAGUUAGUAUAAAGUUGGAUUAAGGGUUGGGGUGUAGACAUUUAGCUGUGAUGACAAUGAAUAAUUCCUUAAGUCAAUGGUUGUCCUUAUUAUAACCGUAGACAGACCAGUGUGUGCGCGUGUGUGCUGUGUGAUGAUGGGCAGCUCCUGUAGUCACCUACUUUAUUGCUGAUAAAAUGCUCAUUAUGCGUUGAAGUGUGACGUAAGGGUAAAUCUUUGUUGUCCAACUUCAUCAUGACAAGCGCGUUAAGAGACGGGUCCGAGCAGUGACGCAUGCCUCCGUGCCCGUAUCACGAGCCUGAAGGGUCCUCUGGUGUUUGGGGAACGAGGCAUGACAGUUCAGCUUACUGCCUCUGCACAAGUACGAUCAUUUAGGAACCGGCCCACAUCCCGCAACAAAGCGCCGCACUGCUGCGUUUCCCGUCCCUCAUUUGGCCCCCGGUGCGGCUUGUUGAGCCGCAUCAGCAACACAUCACUGCCCCUCAAUUCAGGUAGGAACCGGAGGAGUUCGGCGGAUCCCUGAAGUGGACUCCCCUCCUGCUCCCCGCGCCCACAGAGACACCACUUAAAAAUCAAUUAGGCUCCUCUGGUCCUGCGAGUCGUCAUUUCCGGACCAGGUGCUUCCACCAAUUUUAGGGAGUUAUUUAAAAGUGAAAUCCCAGGAGGUUCAUGAUUGAAUAAUGUAG
Molecule: long non-coding RNA, 2054 nt
Filed under: Betta splendens (Siamese fighting fish)
Lineage: Eukaryota; Metazoa; Chordata; Actinopteri; Anabantiformes; Osphronemidae
Description: lncRNA (ENSBSLG00000025207.1)
Source: RNAcentral